Molecule: ribosomal RNA, 401 nt
Filed under: uncultured bacterium
Lineage: Bacteria
Description: bacterial SSU rRNA
Rfam family: Bacterial small subunit ribosomal RNA
Source: RNAcentral
GGGGAAUUUUGCGCAAUGGGCGAAAGCCUGACGCAGCAACGCCGCGUGCGGGAUGAAGGCCUUCGGGUUGUAAACCGCUUUCAGCAGGGAUGAAACUGACAGUACCUGCAGAAGAAGCCCCGGCUAACUACGUGCCAGCAGCCGCGGUAAUACGUAGGGGGCAAGCGUUAUCCGGAUUCAUUGGGCGUAAAGAGCGCGUAGGCGGCUUGUUAAGCGAGAUGUGAAAACCGGGGGCUUAACCCGCGGCCUGCAUCUCGAACUGGCAGGCUUGAGUCUGGUAGAGGAGUGUGGAAUUCCCAGUGUAGCGGUGAAAUGCGCAGAUAUUGGGAGGAACACCAGUGGCGAAGGCGGCACUCUGGGCCACGACUGACGCUGAGGCGCGAAAGCUAGGGGAGCAAACA